RNAcentral lists this ribosomal RNA (240 nucleotides) under uncultured Lactobacillus sp. RNAcentral's name for it is "partial 16S ribosomal RNA". It matches the Rfam family "Bacterial small subunit ribosomal RNA", at positions 122 to 355 of the family's 1533-position model. Lineage: Bacteria; Bacillati; Bacillota; Bacilli; Lactobacillales; Lactobacillaceae. The record is from RNAcentral.
UAACCUGCCCAAGAGAUCGGGAUAACACCUGGAAACAGAUGCUAAUACCGGAUAACUACAGAUGAUGCCUAUCAACUGUUUAAAAGAUGGUUCUGCUAUCACUCUUGGAUGGACCUGCGGUGCAUUAGCUAGUUGGUAGGGUAACGGCCUACCAAGGCGAUGAUGCAUAGCCGAGUUGAGAGACUGAUCGGCCACAUUGGGACUGAGACACGGCCCAAACUCCUACGGGAGGCAGCAGCU